Molecule: ribosomal RNA, 1372 nt
Filed under: uncultured bacterium
Lineage: Bacteria
Description: bacterial SSU rRNA
Rfam family: Bacterial small subunit ribosomal RNA
Source: RNAcentral
GAUGAACGCUGGCGGCGUGCCUAAUACAUGCAAGUCGAGCGAACGGACGAGAAGCUUGCUUCUCUGAUGUUAGCGGCGGACGGGUGAGUAACACGUGGAUAACCUACCUAUAAGACUGGGAUAACUUCGGGAAACCGUAGCUAAUACCGGAUAAUAUUUUGAACCGCAUGGUUCAAAAGUGAAAGACGGUCUUGCUGUCACUUAUAGAUGGAUCCGCGCUGCAUUAGCUAGUUGGUAAGGUAACGGCUUACCAAGGCAACGAUGCAUAGCCGACCUGAGAGGGUGAUCGGCCACACUGGAACUGAGACACGGUCCAGACUCCUACGGGAGGCAGCAGUAGGGAAUCUUCCGCAAUGGGCGAAAGCCUGACGGAGCAACGCCGCGUGAGUGAUGAAGGUCUUCGGAUCGUAAAACUCUGUUAUUAGGGAAGAACAUAUGUGUAAGUAACUGUGCACAUCUUGACGGUACCUAAUCAGAAAGCCACGGCUAACUACGUGCCAGCAGCCGCGGUAAUACGUAGGUGGCAAGCGUUAUCCGGAAUUAUUGGGCGUAAAGCGCGCGUAGGCGGUUUUUUAAGUCUGAUGUGAAAGCCCACGGCUCAACCGUGGAGGGUCAUUGGAAACUGGAAAACUUGAGUGCAGAAGAGGAAGGUGGAAUUCCAUGUGUAGCGGUGAAAUGCGCAGAGAUAUGGAGGAACACCAGUGGCGAAGGCGACUUUCUGGUCUGUAACUGACGCUGAUGUGCGAAAGCGUGGGGAUCAAACAGGAUUAGAUACCCUGGUAGUCCACGCCGUAAACGAUGAGUGCUAAGUGUUAGGGGGUUUCCGCCCCUUAGUGCUGCAGCUAACGCAUUAAGCACUCCGCCUGGGGAGUACGACCGCAAGGUUGAAACUCAAAGGAAUUGACGGGGACCCGCACAAGCGGUGGAGCAUGUGGUUUAAUUCGAAGCAACGCGAAGAACCUUACCAAAUCUUGACAUCCUUUGACAACUCUAGAGAUAGAGCCUUCCCCUUCGGGGGACAAAGUGACAGGUGGUGCAUGGUUGUCGUCAGCUCGUGUCGUGAGAUGUUGGGUUAAGUCCCGCAACGAGCGCAACCCUUAAGCUUAGUUGCCAUCAUUAAGUUGGGCACUCUAAGUUGACUGCCGGUGACAAACCGGAGGAAGGUGGGGAUGACGUCAAAUCAUCAUGCCCCUUAUGAUUUGGGCUACACACGUGCUACAAUGGACAAUACAAAGGGCAGCGAAACCGCGAGGUCAAGCAAAUCCCAUAAAGUUGUUCUCAGUUCGGAUUGUAGUCUGCAACUCGACUACAUGAAGCUGGAAUCGCUAGUAAUCGUAGAUCAGCAUGCUACGGUGAAUACGUUCCCGGGUCU